This 483-nucleotide ribosomal RNA is filed under the name uncultured bacterium. RNAcentral's name for it is "bacterial SSU rRNA". It matches the Rfam family "Bacterial small subunit ribosomal RNA", at positions 28 to 511 of the family's 1533-position model. The record is from RNAcentral.
GAUGAACGCUAGCGGCAGGCUUAACACAUGCAAGUCGAGGGGUAUAGUUCUUCGGAACUAGAGACCGGCGCACGGGUGCGUAACGCGUAUGCAAUCUACCUUUUGCAGAGGGAUAGCCCAGAGAAAUUUGGAUUAAUACCUCAUAGUAUGUGAGAAUGGCAUCAUUUUCACAUUAAAGUCACAACGGCAAAAGAUGAGCAUGCGUCCCAUUAGCUAGUUGGUAAGGUAACGGCUUACCAAGGCAACGAUGGGUAGGGGUCCUGAGAGGGAGAUCCCCCACACUGGUACUGAGACACGGACCAGACUCCUACGGGAGGCAGCAGUGAGGAAUAUUGGACAAUGGGCGCAAGCCUGAUCCAGCCAUGCCGCGUGCAGGAUGACGGUCCUAUGGAUUGUAAACUGCUUUUUGUACAGGAAGAAACACUGGUUCGUGAACCAGCUUGACGGUACUGUAAGAAUAAGGAUCGGCUAACUCCGUGCCAG